UUUCCGUAGGUGAACCUGCGGAAGGAUCAUUAUCGUACAAUAUGUUAUGGGCAUUCUAGGACUGUCACUGACCCAGAAUGCGUUCACGCCCGAGUGUGUCCUCGUGCAUAAUAAUCCAUCUCACCCUUUGUUCAUCACCGCUUGGGUACCCUUCGUGAUCAUCUCGGAGGUUGGCUCUCGUUUUCACACAAACCCCCCUUUUAAAAGUGGAGAAUGACCACAUUUAUGCAAUCAAUACAACUUUCAACAAGGAAUCUAUUGGCCCUCGCAUCGAUGAAA
Molecule: unclassified non-coding RNA, 279 nt
Filed under: plant metagenome
Description: partial contains small subunit ribosomal RNA, internal transcribed spacer 1, and 5.8S ribosomal RNA
Source: RNAcentral